GGGUUUAUGCCCGAAACGUCGAUUCUCCUGCUCCUUGGAUGCUGCCUGACUUGCUGCGCUUUUUCAGCAACACAUCUAUCGUGCUGCGUAGACUUAUUGAGUUGUUGUACAAUCCCACGUGUAGAAACGCACAAUUCCUUCACCAUAUUGAUACACUGCAGAGUCUUGCAGGGCUUCAAUUCCAUGCCUUUGCUGAGCUUCCUGUGGGAGGGUGUCCCAAAGGUUAGACUUGAUGCUGCAUCCACUACCACAUCCAUUUUAACGAGUUACUCCUCAAGUUUCUUUCCAGUCCCAACAUGAAAUAUGUAAAUUUAACAUGGGGUGCAAGACAAUCAGAGCUGAAGGAAAGUGUUAAACCCACACUUCAGCAUUUAACUUCAUUCUUCUUUGCAUGCGUACGGGACAGAACAGGUUAAAGAUCUGCAGUUGGUGAAGGUUUUCAAUUUUUAAGAAGUCCUUCACAAAUCCAUUCAAAGUAACAGAAAAUGUGAAUCUGGUCUGGUCUUGGUGUGUUUUUCUAUAUGUUCACCCACAUAAUCCAUAACUCAGACACUUGGAUUCCUAUUGAGACAGAUAUCUGGAAAUUUAUUAACAACAAUGUUCACUGAUAUGACAUCUCAGAUUUACAUAUUGUUUAAGUUCUGUGUUUAGUUAUAUUGCUACUAUUCUAGUUGACUGGUCAGCUAACAACUGACUGCUUGUCUGGACAGGAAAUAAGGUGGAAACUUUCUAUAUUAGAAUGUCACAAUAACACCUAGCUGUCUCAAAUGUGUAGUUUCUUUCUGAGAUCUUUGCAAUAAUGUGGGAUCCCUGUUUUUCCCUUUACAGAAUAGGAAAACUGAACAAGCCUAUGCAAUUGUACGUGAUAUUAUUACAUAAGGUAACACCUGGCAGGCAUUCAAUAUAACUGGAUCUGGUCCUCAUGCAAUUAUCAUGUGAAUCAGCUGUAAUUUCACUUUAUGGCAUGUGGUCUGUUGUCAUAAAUGAAUGUAUCAGGAGCCAUAACGUCUGCUUUGAUACUUUAAGCAUCCAAACCAUAAUUUUGACUGACAGUUGGUACCAGUCAUGGUACCUUUGUCCCAUAAAAGGGAAUUUGAUGAAGUGAUCAGUCACCAGAAUGUAGCAUUAUCACUAGACAUGCUAGUUGUGAUCUCGUACCACUAUUCAAUAGGACGUUCUAUCGGUAACCAAAAUUGAUGGAGUUGGCAUGUUUCCUACAUCGAUUGAUGUCUUUCCUGAUGCCGGGCCAAUAUAUAUUCUAUGUUUUGGUUUAUUGAUCUGCGUUUUAAGAUGGCACUGGAGAGUGGAGACACUAUACGACACUUUUCAUUGUGUUUUGUAACAAAAUAUACAUGACAGUAAAUAAAUAUAAAUCAAAUGUUUUUUUUCUUCAUCCAUGUGACCUAUGUGUUUUAUGCUCGAGGAUAUCUCAGUGUAGGGUUUAUGGAAUAAUACCUUGUUUGCCUCUGCACAUUAUAUUUCUAGAGAGGAUGAAUUCAUCUCUGAAUGGUCUGAUGGAACAUGCUUGCUCGGGGACCUGCUAGAUGAGAUUAGAUUAACUUACAG
Chiloscyllium plagiosum (whitespotted bambooshark) is the source of this 1566-nucleotide non-coding RNA. The record is from RefSeq and is a predicted model, not a curated record. Lineage: Eukaryota; Metazoa; Chordata; Chondrichthyes; Orectolobiformes; Hemiscylliidae.